CCUACGGGUGGCUGCAGUGGGGAAUAUUGGACAAUGGGGGCAACCCUGAUCCAGCCAUGCCGCGUGUGUGAAGAAGGCCCUCGGGUUGUAAAGCACUUUCAGUGAGGAAGAACGCCUGGUGGUUAAUACCCAUCAGGAAAGACAUCACUCACAGAAGAAGCACCGGCUAACUCCGUGCCAGCAGCCGCGGUAAUACGGAGGGUGCGAGCGUUAAUCGGAAUUACUGGGCGUAAAGCGCGCGUAGGUGGCUUGAUAAGCCGGUUGUGAAAGCCCCGGGCUCAACCUGGGAACGGCAUCCGGAACUGGCAAGCUAGAGUGCAGGAGAGGAAGGUAGAAUUCCCGGUGUAGCGGUGAAAUGCGUAGAGAUCGGGAGGAAUACCAGUGGCGAAGGCGGCCUUCUGGACUGACACUGACACUGAGGUGCGAAAGCGUGGGUAGCAAACAGGAUUAGAUACCCCUGUAGUC
RNAcentral lists this ribosomal RNA (465 nucleotides) under Vreelandella stevensii. RNAcentral describes it as "partial 16S ribosomal RNA". It matches the Rfam family "Bacterial small subunit ribosomal RNA", at positions 338 to 795 of the family's 1533-position model. Lineage: Bacteria; Pseudomonadati; Pseudomonadota; Gammaproteobacteria; Oceanospirillales; Halomonadaceae. The record is from RNAcentral.